AAGUAUAGCAAACUGAAGGAGAUAGGCAUUUUAGCAGUUGAGGGCUGUUGGGUGGGAAUGCAAAAACUCUCUGCUAAGACUUUUUCAGGUGAACAUAACAGACUUGGCCAAGCUAGCAUCUUAGCUGAAGCAGAUUCUCCAGUGCUCUUCAGUAGGGUCUUAAAAUUUAAAGGUUUUGCUUUUUGGCCUUUACCUAGCUUUAAAAAAAAAAGCAAAAGAUGCUGGUGGUUGGCACUCCUGGCUUCCAGGACAGGGUUCAAAUCCCUGCGGCGUCUUUGCUUGACUUUUACUUCUGCCUUUCCGUUUUCCUCCUUUUUCUUCAGAUGAAGUUAGGGGAAGUGGAAGUAGCUUCAAACUAUACUAUACCUCUUGAUUGAAUUUGUCCUAAACUGGUUUGUGUUUGUAUUUUCACAGGAAUCUAGUGUAAUUACUUUGCCCUUUUAAUUUUCAGGUAUCUCUCAUGCAUCUGUUGUUUGGAGCAGUCUCACUAUUUUUAAAAAUAGAUGACAUAUUAAUAAAGGUUGAAAAACUUCAUUGGUGUGAUUCUUUUGUGCAUAAGCUGAACUUCUCUAUCCAUGAGUAGUCAGAAGAUGGGUGUCUUGUGGGGGUUCUUGUUCCUGUUUUAACUAGUUGUCUAAAAAGCACACUGCACUGUCAAGCCACCAAAUUUCUAGGGGGGCAGGGGACCCCUCUGGAGGGGGAGGUGGUCUAGUGGGUGAGUGACCCGAAAGACCCAGUAACAUACCCACAGAAAUAAGAAGGGACACUUUAAAGCAGCAGUUGGCCGUGAGUGUGGCUGGAUCUGGAGAGCUGGAGACCACGUGGUCUGGUAGGUUGUCGAUUCCCAAGCUGUAAAGUGAUCUUGUGGUCACCUGUCCUGUGGAAUGGCCAGUGUUCCGGCAGAUAGACCUUCAAUUGCAACUGAAGUGCCCUUUUUAAGUCCUACCCAUCUUUUAAGUCCUUGCUUCUCAAGCCCUGUUCCCUGAAAAGGAGAGC
This 996-nucleotide long non-coding RNA is filed under the name Sus scrofa (pig). The record is from RNAcentral. Lineage: Eukaryota; Metazoa; Chordata; Mammalia; Artiodactyla; Suidae.